AGAGUUUGAUCCUGGCUCAGGACGAACGCUGGCGGCGUGCUUGAUACAUGCAAGUCAAGGAGAACAUUAUCUUCGGAUAGUUAGUAAACUGGCGAACGGGUGAGUAACGCGUAAACAACUUGCCUCAGAGAUUGGGACAACAUUGGGAAACCAGUGCUAAUACCAAAUAAUGCAGCGGGCUCUUCGGAGCACAGUUGUUAAAGUAGGCUUCGGCUUACACUUUGAGAUAGGUUUGCGUCCGAUUAGUUAGUUGGUAGGGUAAAAGCCUACCAAGACCAAGAUCGGUAGCUGGUCUGAGAGGAUGAUCAGCCACACUGGAAUUGAGAUACGGUCCAGACUCCUACGGGAGGCAGCAGUAAGGAAUUUUGCACAAUGGGCGAAAGCCUGAUGCAGCAACGCCGCGUGAACGAUGAAGUUUUUAGGAAUGUAAAGUUCUGUCGUAUGGGAAGAAAUGUUUCGAAUGCUAAUAUCAUUCGUUAAUGACGGUACCAUACAAGAAAGCACCGGCUAACUUCGUGCCAGCAGCCGCGGUAAUACGAGGGGUGCUAGCGUUGUCCGGAUUUACUGGGCGUAAAGGGUACGUAGGCGUUUUAAAAAGUUGAAUGUUAAAUAUCUUAGCUUAACUAAGAAAAUGCAUUCAAAACUGUUAAAAUAGAGUUUGAGAGAGGAACGCAGAAUUCAUGGUGGAGCGGUGACAUGCGUAGAUAUCAUGAGGAAAGUCAAAUGCGAAGGCAGCCUUCUGGCUCAAAACUGACGCUGAGGUACGAAAGCGUGGGGAGCGAACAGGAUUAGAUACCCUGGUAGUCCACGCCGUAAACGAUGAGUAUUUAGUGCUGGAGGAUUCGACCCUUUCAGUGCUGUAGCUAACGCGAUAAAUACUCCGCCUGGGGACUACGAUCGCAGAUGAAACUCAAGGAUUGACGG
This 924-nucleotide ribosomal RNA is filed under the name uncultured marine bacterium. RNAcentral describes it as "bacterial SSU rRNA". It matches the Rfam family "Bacterial small subunit ribosomal RNA", at positions 8 to 916 of the family's 1533-position model. The record is from RNAcentral.